RNAcentral lists this ribosomal RNA (300 nucleotides) under uncultured Oceanospirillaceae bacterium. Its description in RNAcentral is "bacterial SSU rRNA". It matches the Rfam family "Bacterial small subunit ribosomal RNA", at positions 114 to 419 of the family's 1533-position model. The record is from RNAcentral. Lineage: Bacteria; Pseudomonadati; Pseudomonadota; Gammaproteobacteria; Oceanospirillales; Oceanospirillaceae.
CGCGUAGGAACCUACCUAAUAGUUUGGGAUAGCCAUUGGAAACGAUGAUUAAUACCGGAUACGCCCCACGGGGAAAGCAGAGGACCUUCGGGCUUUGCGCUAUUAGAUGGGCCUGCGUGAGAUUAGCUAGUUGGUGGGGUAAUGGCCCACCAAGGCGACGAUCUCUAGCUGGUCUGAGAGGAUGAUCAGCCACACUGGAACUGAGACACGGUCCAGACUCCUACGGGAGGCAGCAGUGGGAAUAUUGCACAAUGGGCGAAAGCCUGAUGCAGCCAUGCCGCGUGUGUGAAGAAGGCUCUA